Olea europaea var. sylvestris is the source of this 818-nucleotide long non-coding RNA. RefSeq lists it as uncharacterized. The record is from RefSeq and is a predicted model, not a curated record. Lineage: Eukaryota; Viridiplantae; Streptophyta; Magnoliopsida; Lamiales; Oleaceae. The transcript has 3 exons.
CUCAAACAAGUGCUUAAUUAAGUAUCAUGCAUGUACACUUCACCAUUUAUAAUGAUCAAUUUGUAAAACGGAUCACAUGGUGGUGAGCUCCCCAACCCCGUGUACGUCCGAGGUGAAUUGGGUGAUCUUUUAAAAUCAUUUUCCUGAAUGUCAUGUUUUAUCUUUUAAGAGGUGAAAAAUUUGUUGGUGUUCUAGGCAUUCUCAGCCAGAGGAAAAUUCAAGAUCUCCAUCGGACGAGCUUUGGAGACGAGCAUCCGCUGCUGGUGCUUUCACCCCUAUGGAGAAAAGAGCUUUUGGAAUAGCAGAUGACAUAUAUGAAGCUGGUCUUCUUUUUGCAUACCUAGCUUUCAUUCCGUUCUGUGAAGCAGGAGUCAUGGACAGUCUUUCGCUGAGAAGGCUUCUGGAGAACACAUUCCAGCUUGAUCUUGAUGCCAUGAGAGAGUAAGUUGCAUUACAUUUUAUUAUUUAGACUAGUAAUUAUCGGAAAGAUAUAUGGGAAGACUAGAAUGCAUAGAGAAGGAACUUGAAUGAAAGUGCAGACAAUCAUCACACUCUGCAUGAUUAUUGUUCUUUUCACCAUUGUUUUCACAGACUAUGUUACAAAAUUAUAUUGAGAUGCAAGAUAAAGUACAAACCUCCACUAGUACAAAUUUAGGCCUGGUUGCAGGCAAACGUGCCACACAAUUGUAUUGCUGGAGCUCUUCUAAUUUUGGGCUGAGCUUCUCUGUACAACUUCCUGCCCCAACAGUCUUACGCGGCUUUAUGAAUGCACUGAACCCUUAGGAAUUUCAUUAUCUGUGUCAAUCCCGAUUUGAGGG